CUGAUGGAUUGUGCCAUUUGCUAUAAAACGAUGGAUGAGCAAAUAGAAACUACUGCGGAGCCGUACGUUCACUGCAUCCAGAGACCGAGGCUCACAGAGGAAAUGACGACAACACGGAUGAACCAAUGGAAGAAGAUGACCUACAGAACCGGCGGUGCCACUAUUAUGGCCCUGUCCACUGGCUAAAGAUGCUCUUUACAUGCAAAGCAUCACACCAGACAGACUUCACACAUGCAUAAAUAACUCUGUCAAAAUGUCUGAUUUUCUUUUUCGUUUUACUGUUACAUUUGACAUAAAAAUCUCUGAUUUAUAUUCAUUUUAAGUUCCUAAAGUGACUUUAUUCCAAAUAUAGUCUUGUAACGCAGAACAUGUCACUUUCUCUGGAUGUAUCAGUAGAAAUAAGAAAUGUUUAAUCCUGGAUGUCAAAGAGAGGUUCAUUAAUUCAUUUUUAAUGCUCUUUACCAGCAUCAAUUCAUAUUAAAUUUGGGCUUUUGGUGAUGGAAUGGUUUUAUAACAUCAGAACAUUUCUAAAUUUAAUCUGCAAGAAAAGUUUCCAUAUGGAUGUAUAUUCAUACAUCCCACUAAUAUAAGGGUCUUGUAGUAAAAAUGUAAUAUGCAAAAUAAAGGUUUGACUUUUCAAACUCA
Long non-coding RNA from Xiphophorus maculatus (southern platyfish), 645 nucleotides. RefSeq lists it as uncharacterized. The record is from RefSeq and is a predicted model, not a curated record. NCBI's taxonomy places the organism in Eukaryota, Metazoa, Chordata, Actinopteri, Cyprinodontiformes, Poeciliidae. The transcript is spliced from 2 exons.